Non-coding RNA from Prunus mume (Japanese apricot), 244 nucleotides. Lineage: Eukaryota; Viridiplantae; Streptophyta; Magnoliopsida; Rosales; Rosaceae. The record is from RefSeq and is a predicted model, not a curated record.
UGCAAGUGCUUUUAAUGUUCAAAGACAUGGAGAAAUCAACAAUGUCAGUUAUACAAUUUGUGUUGCAUCUUCUUGCUCUUCAUCUUCAGUAUUCAGAGGUUCACUCGCUUGCCAAUACUUCUUCUCAUGAUUUUAGCUACUUGAAGUUUGUGUACAACGCUACUGAUACAAGCUUGGAAGGAUCAUAUGACUACAUUGUAGUCGGUGGAGGAACAUCAGGGUGUCCAUUGGCAGCAACUUUAUC